RNAcentral lists this ribosomal RNA (500 nucleotides) under uncultured bacterium. RNAcentral's name for it is "partial 16S ribosomal RNA". It matches the Rfam family "Bacterial small subunit ribosomal RNA", at positions 30 to 523 of the family's 1533-position model. The record is from RNAcentral.
AUUGAACGCUGGCGGCAUGCCUUACACAUGCAAGUCGAACGGCAGCACGGGAGCAAUCCUGGUGGCGAGUGGCGAACGGGUGAGUAAAGUAUCGGAACGUGCCCAGUCGUGGGGGAUAACGUAGCGAAAGUUACGCUAAUACCGCAUACGAUCUAUGGAUGAAAGCGGGGGAUCGCAAGACCUCGCGCGAUUGGAGCGGCCGAUAUCAGAUUAGGUAGUUGGUGGGGUAAAGGCUCACCAAGCCGACGAUCUGUAGCUGGUCUGAGAGGACGACCAGCCACACUGGGACUGAGACGCGGCCCAGACUCCUACGGGAGGCAGCAGUGGGGAAUUUUGGACAAUGGGCGCAAGCCUGAUCCAGCCAUGCCGCGUGCAGGAUGAAGGCCUUCGGGUUGUAAACUGCCUUUGUACGGAACGAAAAGGUUUGACUUAAUACGUUGGACUCAUGACGGUACCGUAAGAAUAAGCACCGGCUAACUACGUGCCAGCCGCCGCAGUAA